This 433-nucleotide ribosomal RNA is filed under the name uncultured bacterium. RNAcentral's name for it is "partial 16S ribosomal RNA". It matches the Rfam family "Bacterial small subunit ribosomal RNA", at positions 29 to 507 of the family's 1533-position model. The record is from RNAcentral.
AACGAACGCUGGCGGCAUGCCUAACACAUGCAAGUCGAACGAGACCUUCGGGUCUAGUGGCGCACGGGUGCGUAACGCGUGGGAACCUGCCCUUAGGUUCGGAAUAACUCCCAGAAAGGGGUGCUAAUACCGGAUAAUGUCUUCGGACCAAAGAUUUAUCGCCUUUGGAUGGGCCCGCGUUGGAUUAGCUAGUUGGUAGGGUAAAAGCCUACCAAGGCGACGAUCCAUAGCUGGUCUGAGAGGAUGAUCAGCCACACUGGGACUGAGACACGGCCCAGACUCCUACGGGAAGCAGCAGUGGGGAAUAUUGGACAAUGGGCGAAAGCCUGAUCCAGCAAUGCCGCGUGAGUGAUGAAGGCCUUAGGGUUGUAAAGCUCUUUUACCCGGGAUGAUAAUGACAGUACCGGGAGAAUAAGCUCCGACUAACUCCGUG